UACAGAGGGUGCAAGCGUUAAUCGGAGUUACUGGGCGUAAAGGGCGCGUAGGCGGAUAGAUGUGUGUGAUGUGAAAGCCCCGGGCUUAACCUGGGAAGUGCAUCGCAAACUGUUUAUCUAGAGUAUAUGAGAGGGUGGCGGAAUUUCCGGUGUAGCGGUGAAAUGCGUAGAGAUCGGAAGGAACGUCAAUGGCGAAGGCAGCCACCUGGCAUAAUACUGACGCUGAGGCGCGAAAGCGUGGGGAGCGAACAGG
This 253-nucleotide ribosomal RNA is filed under the name uncultured Aquicella sp. RNAcentral's name for it is "partial 16S ribosomal RNA". It matches the Rfam family "Bacterial small subunit ribosomal RNA", at positions 524 to 776 of the family's 1533-position model. Lineage: Bacteria; Pseudomonadati; Pseudomonadota; Gammaproteobacteria; Legionellales; Coxiellaceae. The record is from RNAcentral.